Molecule: ribosomal RNA, 253 nt
Filed under: uncultured bacterium
Lineage: Bacteria
Description: partial 16S ribosomal RNA
Rfam family: Bacterial small subunit ribosomal RNA
Source: RNAcentral
UACGGGGGGGGCAAGCGUUGUUCGGAAUUACUGGGCGUAAAGCGCAUGUAGGCGGCGAUUUAAGUCGGGGGUGAAAUCCCAGGGCUCAACCCUGGAACUGCCUUCGAUACUAUUUUGCUAGAGUGUGGAAGAGGUUGGUGGAACUGCAAGUGUAGAGGUGAAAUUCGUAGAUAUUUGCAAGAACACCGGUGGCGAAGGCGGCCAACUGGUCCAUUACUGACGCUGAGAUGCGAAAGCGUGGGGAGCAAACAGG